Molecule: ribosomal RNA, 484 nt
Filed under: uncultured bacterium
Lineage: Bacteria
Description: partial 16S ribosomal RNA
Rfam family: Bacterial small subunit ribosomal RNA
Source: RNAcentral
AUUGAACGCUGGCGGCAGGCCUAACACAUGCAAGUCGAGCGGAUGAAGGGAGCUUGCUCCUGGAUUCAGCGGCGGACGGGUGAGUAAUGCCUAGGAAUCUGCCUGGUAGUGGGGGAUAACGUCCGGAAACGGGCGCUAAUACCGCAUACGUCCUGAGGGAGAAAGUGGGGGAUCUUCGGACCUCACGCUAUCAGAUGAGCCUAGGUCGGAUUAGCUAGUUGGUGGGGUAAAGGCCUACCAAGGCGACGAUCCGUAACUGGUCUGAGAGGAUGAUCAGUCACACUGGAACUGAGACACGGUCCAGACUCCUACGGGAGGCAGCAGUGGGGAAUAUUGGACAAUGGGCGAAAGCCUGAUCCAGCCAUGCCGCGUGUGUGAAGAAGGUCUUCGGAUUGUAAAGCACUUUAAGUUGGGAGGAAGGGCAGUAAGUUAAUUCCUUGCUGUUUUGACGCUACCAACAGAAUAAGCACCGGCUAACUUCGUG